This 71-nucleotide transfer RNA is filed under the name Trichonotus elegans (long-rayed sand-diver). Its description in RNAcentral is "tRNA-Tyr". It matches the Rfam family "tRNA". Rfam says of the family: Transfer RNA (tRNA) molecules are approximately 80 nucleotides in length. Their secondary structure includes four short double-helical elements and three loops (D, anti-codon, and T loops). The record is from RNAcentral. RNAcentral also lists the same sequence under 1 other name. Lineage: Eukaryota; Metazoa; Chordata; Actinopteri; Gobiiformes; Trichonotidae.
GGUAGGAUGGCCGAGGGUCUAGGCGGUAGGCUGUAGUCCUACACACAGGGGUUUGAUUCCUCUUCCUUCCA